RNAcentral lists this ribosomal RNA (668 nucleotides) under uncultured Lachnospiraceae bacterium. RNAcentral's name for it is "bacterial SSU rRNA". It matches the Rfam family "Bacterial small subunit ribosomal RNA", at positions 60 to 743 of the family's 1533-position model. The record is from RNAcentral. Lineage: Bacteria; Bacillati; Bacillota; Clostridia; Lachnospirales; Lachnospiraceae.
ACUUUUGCGGAUUUCUUCGGAUUGAAGCAAUUGUGACUGAGCGGCGGACGGGUGAGUAACGCGUGGGUAACCUGCCUCAUACAGGGGGAUAACAGUUGGAAACGGCUGCUAAUACCGCAUAAGCGCACAGUACCGCAUGGUACCGUGUGAAAAACUCCGGUGGUAUGAGAUGGACCCGCGUCUGAUUAGCUAGUUGGUGGGGUAACGGCCUACCAAGGCGACGAUCAGUAGCCGACCUGAGAGGGUGACCGGCCACAUUGGGACUGAGACACGGCCCAAACUCCUACGGGAGGCAGCAGUGGGGAAUAUUGCACAAUGGGGGAAACCCUGAUGCAGCGACGCCGCGUGAGCGAUGAAGUAUUUCGGUAUGUAAAGCUCUAUCAGCAGGGAAGAAAAUGACGGUACCUGACUAAGAAGCCCCGGCUAACUACGUGCCAGCAGCCGCGGUAAUACGUAGGGGGCAAGCGUUAUCCGGAUUUACUGGGUGUAAAGGGAGCGUAGACGGCAUGGCAAGCCAGAUGUGAAAGCCCGGGGCUCAACCCCGGGACUGCAUUUGGAACUGUCAGGCUAGAGUGUCGGAGAGGAAAGCGGAAUUCCUAGUGUAGCGGUGAAAUGCGUAGAUAUUAGGAGGACACCAGUGGCGAAGCGGCUUUCUGGACGAUGACUGA